GGGGACAGGGAUUGGUGUGGGG
This 22-nucleotide microRNA is filed under the name Ptychodera flava. Its description in RNAcentral is "Pfl-Mir-4825-P1b_5p* (star (passenger))". The record is from RNAcentral. Lineage: Eukaryota; Metazoa; Hemichordata; Enteropneusta; Ptychoderidae.